AUCCAGAUGACGAGUCCGGAACAGGACGAAAUGCGCGUUGUCCUGGAU
This 48-nucleotide non-coding RNA is filed under the name Trichobilharzia regenti. Lineage: Eukaryota; Metazoa; Platyhelminthes; Trematoda; Strigeidida; Schistosomatidae. The record is from RNAcentral.